GAAAAGAAUUAAGUUGAUGAAAUAUUAUUAAAUUGAUAACCGUGAAACUUUCAACCAUCGGUUUACAGUUAAGGAAAGGGCAAACUAAUUUAACUAUUGAAUAAAGCAGUGAGACUUGAUGAUGACCACUCCACCGAGCCAUUCCAACUUGGAGAAAGGAGAAAGUUUUCUUUUCUUUUCUUUUUUUUUUGUUGUUGGUGUAAACAGACUUUAAACACCAAUGGAUCUGUCCAAAAAGAAAAAAAAAAUUAGACUAGAUUAAAGUCUAAUCCUCCUUGAACGGUUUCACUAUCCAGUGUUGAGAAAAUCAUAAUAGACCAGGAUUUGAGAAAUCUUAAACAAUUUAAUAACUAUAACGAGACACUAUCCAGUGUUGGUAUCUAGAUGCAUUAUUACUUGCUUGAUUAAGACCUUGAAUUUUUUAUAUUUCUACUUUCAAUAAUUAUGAGAGUAAAUUUUAUAUGCACUGACAGUGUAUAUACUAUCACGGUUGAAUGCACGACACAUGUGCAAAAUUUGGGUUUCAAAUUCAAAUUCGAAUUAUGUGUCAUGCAUCAAAUGGUGAAAGUGAAUAUACUGUCAGUGUAUGGAAGAUUAAUUCUUAUUAUAAUUGUGCCAUUUUCUUCCCUCUAAUGAAAUCUGGAUUGCUAUAGAAUUUUUCUAUUGUUGAACCAUAUAAUUUAUUCUAAGAACUUCCAUGUAGGGAUGGCAAUGGGAGCGGGUGCCCGUGGGCACCCGCCCUGCGGGGGGCUCUCGGGGCGGGGGUUGGGACGGGGGCGGGGGGGAAUUUUUCCCCCCGUUUAGAAACGGGGCAGGGGGCGGGAGAGUAUACCCCCGCCCCAUCCCCCGCCCCGCCACCCGCAAAAAAAAAAAAAUAUAAUAUGUAAUUUAAUUAGUUAUAAACUUAUGAUAAUGAUAUUAUUAGUUAGAUGUAUUAUAUAAUGUAUAUUAGUGUAUGUAAUAUAAUUGAUAUUAUCAAUUAUACGAAUAAUUAGACAUAUCUACUAAUAGAAUUUAUUAAUUAAUUAUACUAAAUUUCUAAUUACACUUAAUAGAAUAACAUUUUUUCUCAAAAACAAGCACAAACAUAAUAAUGAAUUAGUAAUUGUAUUUGUACCAAAAGUGAAAACUUAACUAUUUUAGUUAUAUUUAUUUCAUCAUGUUGAAUUGUAUUCAAAUAAUUUUUAUUUGAUUGUUUUUAUGAGUUUCCAUUGUAAAAUUACAAUGAAUAAUAACUUGAUGAUGUGUUGAUAUUUUAGUAUUUGAUUAUUUAUUAAAAUUUAGCAAUAAUAAAAUUUUAUUAACCCUGUGAAAAAAAUUUUAUUAACCCUGCGGGUGCCCCCGCAGGGGAAGCGGGGCGGGGGACCCCCCCAACCCCGGCCCGUUGCCAUCCCUACUUCCAUGUUUCAAGUCUUGUUGCUUUAGAGUGAAAAAGGGUUGGUAAAGAUGUUGAUCAGGUAUUAUUAGACCAAACAAAUUUAGAACCACCAGAUGUAGGCUUAAAUUGUAUUUUAAAAAAAAAGCUCUAUCAAAUAAAGCAACCACCUAUCAAUAACCAAAUUAAAUGAACUAUCAAAUAAAGCAAUGGGACCUGAAGGUGAGCUAUUAGGUAAGCCAUUGUCUGUUGUAAAAUUUUAGAAGUGAGAAGAUCAAUCUUAAUACACUAAAUUAUAGAUAAAUAGCCUAUUUUCCAUAUAUGAAAUUAUGUAUGGAAAAAAGUAACAAAAGCAAUAGUAUAGUAUUGAUCAAUCAAUAGAAACAAAACUUUCAACCCUUCACUCUUUUCUAUUGAAUACUAUAAUAAAAUAUCCACUUAUAGUUCUUAUUGCUUGAUUAAUAAGAAAUAACUAAUACAUUUAAAAAAAAACUACCAAAUACUUGACUAAAAAACUGUUAAAGAAUCAAAUAGAAUUUUUAUAAUUGUUAGACUUGAUUAUUCUAAAUUAUUUUCAUUAAACUAUGCUCUCGGUUCAAUCAGGUCCAAGCAAGUCGCUGGUGACAUUUUUAUGAAAAUCAAUUUACAACCAAUCCUCAUCUUACAAAAAAAAAAAAAAAAUAGUUGUUGUGGCAUUCCGGCUUUGUUUUAGCGACUCAAUUCGAUAUAAAUUCAUUGGCCACUUUGAAUAAUGCCUCAAAAAACCCCUGCUUUAUAAUCUUCAUAAUCAUAAAUAAAUUUUAUGAUACAAUCUCUAUAUCUGUCAUAAAACCCAAAAAACAAUAAAUUCCUUUUUGAUUUAAUAUAUUUGCUUAAGUUCUAAUAUCCAUAACCUAAUACUUCAAAACAAACUGUCUACCCUAUUUCAACAAUCAAAACUUUUAGUACAAACAUUAUUUCCUAUCUCUAAAUAAUCACUCUACGUCUAAGGAAUUUCCUAUAUCUUUUCUAAUAUCAAGACUAGUAGUAUUAUUUUGUAAUAAUUGACCAGAGAUCAAAAGUUUUAGAGGUUUAAUAAACUCUUGGUUUGGUAAAUCUACGGGAGAAUCUGGUAGAUCUUUGUCUACUGGGUUUAUAUGAAUUAAUUUUAAUGGAUCUAUGGAUUCUGAAUAUCCGGCGGAAAAUUAGACGCAUCGAGCAAAACCCUCAGACAAAAUCUUUUCUGAAUAAAUCAAUCACCAAACAAGAGGUUCAGGCAGAGUCUGCUUCAACAAAAUUGGUCAUUCAUGAAAUUGAAAUCAGGAUUGACCAAGGGGCAGCCUAUACCCAUGCCAAGAAAAUUCUUACAAUCUAUCCAGAAAAAUGCCUUUACAAUCUUUUUACCCAAUUCAUCCCAAAAACUCCUCUUCCAAAUACCUACUUCUCAAACUUGCUUUUCACACCUCUAGAAGACCAAAAAUUUUGGAUUAAACAAAACUUUCCAAUUCCUUUACCCAAACAAGAGUUCGAAAUUCAAAGAACUUCCUUGAUUAAAACCAAACAAAACAAUCAAGGAUCUUCUAUUCUCAAUAAAUCAUAUACCAACUCCUUUUUACAAAAUUAUACUUUCAACCAAGAAAACAUCCAAAAACUAUACCACCCUCAAAUGAUUCAUUCUGAUAUUCUCAGAAUAAAAUCCAAUAUCCUUCAACACUCAUACAAUAAGGAAGACAUCUAUGAAUGGAGCAUAGAUGAAAUGACCAGAUACAAUCUUCCUAUGACAUCUCAACAAAUGACAACCACAACUAUGUUUAAUCAAACAUUACAUGGCUGCAAUCAACUAAUUGCUCAUGCCCUAUUCAUAGGAUUUAUUGGGCAAUUCAAAGGCUGGUGGGAAGAAUAUCUCAUCAUUGAGGAAAUCAACAACAUAAGUUGUUCUAUGUUUUCUGAGAAUACUAGAACAUCAUCAAUAUAAACGAUAAUGAAAGAGGAAUAAGGACUAAAUAUUUCAUUCAUAAUCCUUUGGAAUUCAGAAGGAGCAUUUUUGAGUCCAAAUGGCAUUACGUUCCAUUCAUAAUGUCCAAAUGGUACUGUAAAUGCCGUUUUGUAUCUGUCUGAGAUAUGAAUCUGAAUUUGCCAGAACCUUAACUUCAUAUCGAAUUUUGAGAAUAUCCUGGCAGAAUAAAGCCUUUGGAGUAAAUCCAUCUUAGGAGUCAUCCUCACCAGAACUCAUAAGUCCAGUCCAAACAACCAUAUCAAAACAUGCAUCCUCUAUGUCAAAAACCAUAAAAACACAAGUUCCUACACCAGAUCUCAUAGAUCAGGUCCAAACUAAGCCAAAAUCAGAAGAUCUAUCCAUAGAUCAGCCUCAAACAACCUAUAUAUCCUCUCAUAAAUAUUCAGAAUCCAUAGAUCCAUUAAAAUUAAUUCAUAUAAACCCAGUAGACAAAGAUCUACCAGAUUCUCCCGUCGAUUUACCAAACCAAGAAUUUAUUAAACCGCCAAAACUUUUGAUCUCUGGUCAAUUAUUACAAAAUAAUACUACUAGUCUUGAUAUUAGAAAAGACAUAGGAAAUUCCUUAGACGUAGGAUAUUCCACAAUAAAUGUCUUAACUAAAGAUCAACCUAGUACCAAACCUAUCACUGUUAAAGAUCUUCAAACAGAAAUUGCUAUUCUCAAUAAGGAAAUUAAAACAAUUGAAAAAACAGCCACUGAAGAGGAAAUCAUUAAUAAACCUUCUCAGUCAAACAUAAUAUAUGGUAGAUCUACAACUUAUGUCUUUCUCACACAUAUGGAAGAUCUAUCUAUUUCGCACACAUAAAAUUACUUGUGGAGAAGAGAAAUGAAAUCAACAACAUAAGAUAAAGGAGAAAUAUAUCUCUCAUUUAGUUGUUGAGAGUGAGCCAUCAAUUGAAAUUGCUCCACUUGCCCAUAGAAAUUGGACUUGAAAGUGAAUUUUUUGUGAAAUAAGUUUUUUCUUUUUUCUUUUUCCCUAUGUAGUAUCUUAAGUAAUACUUUUGUAAUUUAAUAAUUGAAUUAUGUCUCCAAAUAUUUGGGAAAACCCUAAUUAUACUAUAAAAGUGAUAAAAAUCUUCACGACCAUGUUUAUGAAUUCUAGAGCUGUAAAUGAAUCGAAUCGAAUCGAGUAUCUCAUGUUUGAUCUCUGUUCAUUAAACUAUUUGAUCAAGGCUCGUGUUCUUUCGAUAAUAUUCGAGCUCCAAAUCUAUGUUCUUGUUCUACUCGUUAUGCAAAAUCUAUGUUCGAAUUCAAGUUCGAGCUCAAACGAGCUGUUUGUGAACAGGCUCAACAUGUUCAAAUCUCAAAUUUCUCUCAUAAAAUAUCCAAUUACUUGCAUUUUAACAAAAAACCACCUAAGGUCAAAAAUCAAAAGACAUUUGAGAAGAAAAUAACAUAAAUAGUCAAGAAGUGGGAUGUGGUUAGAUCUUUCUCUGAUAGAUGAGAAUUUACAAGAUUUUCACUAUCAAACCUCACUAGAAUUUGUAUUUAAUUAUGCCCUUACCUAUUAUGGUUUCCCAAAACUGAUUAGGUAUUUCGUCUUCAAUGAAGUUCCAAAUUAAUGACAUAAGUUUACAAGCAACCUGGAUCGCACAUCUAUCUAAAUCAACAUUUUAAAAUUUUCAAAAAUUCUAACAAAAUAGGCAACAAGAAGAAAACCAUAAUGGGCUGUGGUUCUUAAGCACAACUGAUAGAACAAUUUAGUUGUUAGUAGCAUCCUAGAGGAUCCAAAUGAAUUCAAUUCUCAAAGUCAAAAGACAUUUGAGGAGAAAAUAACAUAAAUAGUCAACAGCUAGCUUAUAAAGUAACCCUAAAAUUGUUAAGAUUGAAAAUCUAAAAUUCAACAAAUUAGAGCUAAACAAGAUCGAAGUUUUAAGCAAACAAAAUUAACAUACCUUAAAGAGACGGUGCUAAGCAGCUCAGACCCUCGGUGAUGACGGCAAUAAGGAUUGUGGCCAUUUGUAGCAGCCUAGAAGGAGAAGGUUUGCAGGUGUGAAAUUGAAAGAGAAAUUUGGGAAGGUUUGGUGGUAGUGAGACAAUGGUGGUGAUAGACUUGACGCUGGCCAAUGGGCUAGUGGUGGUGGCAGCUAGCGCCUCGGCUAUUAGGAAGAAGUGAAGAUCGGAAACUUUCAACUUUGUAAAGUUGGACUAUUAGAGCU
This 5530-nucleotide long non-coding RNA is filed under the name Coffea arabica (coffee). RNAcentral's name for it is "long non-coding RNA (CARA_LNC001349)". The record is from RNAcentral. Lineage: Eukaryota; Viridiplantae; Streptophyta; Magnoliopsida; Gentianales; Rubiaceae.